RNAcentral lists this ribosomal RNA (324 nucleotides) under uncultured eukaryote. RNAcentral's name for it is "partial 18S ribosomal RNA". It matches the Rfam family "Eukaryotic small subunit ribosomal RNA", at positions 1470 to 1796 of the family's 1831-position model. The record is from RNAcentral.
CCCUUAGAUGUUCUGGGCCGCACGCGCGCUACACUGAUACGUUCAACGAGCUCCUUGACCGAGAGGCCCGGGUAAUCUUUGAAACCGUAUCGUGAUGGGGAUAGAACAUUGCAAUUAUUGUUCUUCAACGAGGAAUGCCUAGUAAGCGCGAGUCAUCAUCUCGCGUUGAUUACGUCCCUGCCCUUUGUACACACCGCCCGUCGCUCCUACCGAUUGAACGUGCUGGUGAAGCGUUAGGACUGGAGGUUUUGGGCCGGUUCGCCUGCCCAUCGCUUCGGGAAUUUCGUUGAACCCUCCCGUUUAGAGGAAGGAGAANUCGUAACA